GCCCUCGUCGUUCAACGGACAGGAUGCAAGCUUGCGGAGCUUGUGAUAGAGGUUCGAUUCCUCUCGAGGGCG
Non-coding RNA from Candidatus Giovannonibacteria bacterium, 72 nucleotides. Lineage: Bacteria; Candidatus Giovannoniibacteriota. The record is from Rfam.